AGAAGAAAUGGUACUACUUGAAGAUAAACAGCACUUUCAUGGCUAAUGGCCCUUCUGAGUUAUUUUCAUGUAUUUUUUUUCCCUAGGGACUGUACAGUAUGUAACUGAAUAAUAUGCAAGAUGAGAUAGAGGUAGAUGGACUUCUUAGAUUGUCUAGCUUCAACAGUUCAUUUUGAGGAUCCCUACUAAACCUGCAGUUACUGGGAAGAGGAAUGAACAGAAGAGGAAUUACUUCUGAAGUGGAAUUGGGAACUUAGGCAUGAGCGAUAUCUUGACCCAACAGAAGUCUCUCAGUAGCUUCUAUUCCAGUUUUAUCUGCAUACGAUAUUUUGAAAGACACUGCACGUGGACUUGGAAUUUUUUUAAACAUUCGUAUUGCAAAGGUGACUGUGGUUUGGAUUCUGUGGAGAAGGUUUCUGCUAUGACUCAGCCCCCAAAAGUGCUCCUCUUCUCUGCCAGACACCACUAAGGUAAAUGAAAAUGUUUUUUAGUGCAGGAUAGUCUUUUAUAUUAUUUGGUGUUAAUUUUGGUACCUGGAGCAAAAAUCCCUAU
RNAcentral lists this long non-coding RNA (552 nucleotides) under Anser brachyrhynchus (Pink-footed goose). RNAcentral's name for it is "lncRNA (ENSABRG00000008011.1)". Lineage: Eukaryota; Metazoa; Chordata; Aves; Anseriformes; Anatidae. The record is from RNAcentral.